AGAGUUUGAUCAUGGCUCAGGACGAACGCUGGCGGCGUGCUUAACACAUGCAAGUCGAACGGAAAGGCCCUUCGGGGUACUCGAGUGGCGAACGGGUGAGUAACACGUGGGUGAUCUGCCCUGCACUUUGGGAUAAGCCUGGGAAACUGGGUCUAAUACCGAAUAGGACCACGCGCUUCAUGGUGUGUGGUGGAAAGCUUUUGCGGUGUGGGAUGGGCCCGCGGCCUAUCAGCUUGUUGGUGGGGUAAUGGCCUACCAAGGCGACGACGGGUAGCCGGCCUGAGAGGGUGACCGGCCACACUGGGACUGAAAUACGGCCCAGACUCCUACGGGAGGCAGCAGUGGGGAAUAUUGCACAAUGGGCGCAAGCCUGAUGCAGCGACGCCGCGUGAGGGAUGACGGCCUUCGGGUUGUAAACCUCUUUCAAUAGGGACGAAGCGCAAGUGACGGUACCUAUAGAAGAAGCACCGGCCAACUACGUGCCAGCAGCCGCGGUAAUACGUAGGGUGCGAGCGUUGUCCGGAAUUACUGGGCGUAAAGAGCUCGUAGGUGGUUUGUCGCGUUGUUCGUGAAAACUCACAGCUUAACUGUGGGCGUGCGGGCGAUACGGGCAGACUAGAGUACUGCAGGGGAGACUGGAAUUCCUGGUGUAGCGGUGGAAUGCGCAGAUAUCAGGAGGAACACCGGUGGCGAAGGCGGGUCUCUGGGCAGUAACUGACGCUGAGGAGCGAAAGCGUGGGGAGCGAACAGGAUUAGAUACCCCGGUAGUCCAA
Molecule: ribosomal RNA, 773 nt
Filed under: uncultured bacterium
Lineage: Bacteria
Description: bacterial SSU rRNA
Rfam family: Bacterial small subunit ribosomal RNA
Source: RNAcentral